UCCGAUGUCGUCCAGCGGUUAGGAUAUCUGGCUUUCACCCAGGAGACCCGGGUUCGAUCCCGGCAUCGGAG
RNAcentral lists this transfer RNA (71 nucleotides) under Eutrema salsugineum. It matches the Rfam family "tRNA". Rfam says of the family: Transfer RNA (tRNA) molecules are approximately 80 nucleotides in length. Their secondary structure includes four short double-helical elements and three loops (D, anti-codon, and T loops). The record is from Rfam by way of RNAcentral. Lineage: Eukaryota; Viridiplantae; Streptophyta; Magnoliopsida; Brassicales; Brassicaceae.